CCAGCCUGCGUGGCCGCGAGUCCCGGAUUUAAAGGGGACGCGGGGGUGGCGGGGCUGGCCUAGGGGGCUGGGCCUGUCAGUCCCCGGACUCUCCUGCGCGCGGCGGCCGGAACCAGUGGUCCAUCGAGGGAGCUGCAUGCCUGCUGUUUUCAAGAUCCUCUUCUCGCAGACUGCCAGGACACUAAGCAGAAGGGAAGGACUUUGCUUGCCCCAGAGACAGGCUUGUCUAUUGAGAUUUGAAAGUUGCCUUCUGGGUCUCCCUGUGGCCAACCCAUUUACUUGGUACCACUUGCUAGUAAGAAAUAAGUCUCUCCUUUCUGCCAGCAGAAGCCGGGGAGCUUGUGCUAAAGACUUUGCUGUUCCUUCAGCUUUGCAUGUUUGGCAUCGUAGGCGCUGCACAGUCCCUGAUGAGAUGGCGGAGCAGAGGUACUGCGUGGACUAUGCCAAGCGCGGCACAGCCGGCUGUAAGAAAUGUAAGGAGAAGAUCUUGAAGGGGAUGGUGCGCAUUGGGAAGGUGGUCCCCAACCCCUUCACAGAGUCGGGCGGGGAGAUGAAGGAGUGGUACCAUGUGAAGUGCAUUUUUGAGAAGCUAGAGAAGGCUCGGGCCACAACAAAGAAGAUUGAGGACAUCACAGACUUGGAGGGUUGGGAAGAGCUCCAGGAUCCGGAGAAAGAUAUGAUAAACCAGCAUAUCUCAGAGGCCACUUCCAAGGCGGCGAACACACCUAAGAAAAAGGCGACUAUCCAGGCGAAGCUCUCCCCCAGUGGACAGAUAACCAGUCCCAAGAAGGAGCUACUAGCUACCCCCAAUCCAUCACCAAAGAAAUUCUCUGGAUUCACAGCUAAACCGGGCAAUUCUGAUGAAGCCCCUGAAAGCUCUCCCCACAAGUCUAGCCUCUCUGCAAAGAAGUGUGACCCAAAGCACAAAGAUUGCUUGCUGCGGGAGUUCAGAAAGUUGUGCGCCAUGGUUGCCGAGAAGCCCAGCUAUAACGUGAAGACGCAGAUCAUUCAGGACUUCUUGCAAAAAGGAACUGCGGGAGAUGGCUUCCAUGGUGACCUCUACCUGACUAUUAAGCUGCUAUUACCAGGUGUCAUUAAAAGUGUUUACAACUUGAAUGACAAGCAGAUUGUCAAGCUGUUCAGCAGGAUUUUCAAUUGCAGCCAGGAGGAGAUGGUCCGAGACCUAGAGCAGGGAGAUGUUUCCGAAACUGUGCGCAUCUUUUUUGAAGAGAGCAAGUCCUGCCCUCCUGCUGCCAAAAGUCUCCUUACCAUCCAGGAGGUGGAUGAGUUCCUCACUCAACUUUCAAAGCUUUCCAAGGAGGACGAGCAGCAAAGUGUGCUGCAGGAUAUCACUAGCAGGUGCACAGGGAAUGACCUAAAAUGCAUCAUCCGGCUAAUAAAGCAUGAUCUGAAAAUGAAUGCUGGUGCAAAGCACGUGUUGGAUGCUUUAGAUCCUAAUGCUUAUGAGGCAUUCAAAGCCUCACGCAAUCUCCAGAAUGUGGUGGAGCGAGUGCUGAGGAACCAGCAGGAGACUGAGAAGUUGCCAGGUCUGAAGCGAACCCUCAGCGUACAGGCCUCACUGAUGACCCCUGUUCAGCCCAUGCUGGCUGAAGCCUGCAAGUCAAUCGAAUACGCCAUGAAGAAGUGCCCCAAUGGGAUGUAUGCAGAGAUCAAAUACGAUGGGGAACGAGUUCAGGUCCACAAGAAUGGAGAUCACUUCAGCUACUUCAGCCGAAGCCUCAAACCCGUCCUCCCUCACAAAGUAGCCCAUUUUAAGGACUUCAUCCCCCAGGCUUUCCCUGGUGGACAUAGUAUGAUCCUGGAUGCAGAAGUUCUUCUGAUUGACAACAAAGCUGGCAAACCGCUCCCCUUCGGGACCCUUGGAGUGCAUAAGAAAGCUGCUUUCCAGGAUGCCAAUGUCUGCUUGUUCGUGUUUGACUGCAUCUAUUUCAAUGAGACCAGCCUGAUGGACAGGCCCCUGCGUGAGCGUCGAAAGUUUCUCCAUGAUAACAUGGUGGAAAUCCCCAACCGGAUACUCUUCUCCGAGAUGAAGCAUGUCACAAAAGCUUCAGAUCUGGCAGAUAUGAUCAAUCGAGUCAUCCGCGAGGGGCUGGAAGGACUGGUGCUGAAAGAUAUAAAGAGUACGUAUGAGCCCGGUAAACGUCACUGGCUAAAAGUGAAAAAGGACUAUCUGAAUGAAGGUGCCAUGGCUGACACGGCAGACCUGGUGGUUCUGGGAGCUUUCUAUGGACAAGGCAGUAAAGGUGGGAUGAUGUCCAUUUUCCUCAUGGGCUGCUAUGACCCCAAGAGCCAGAAAUGGUGCACGGUGACAAAGUGCGCUGGCGGGCACGAUGAUGCCACCCUGGCGCGGCUGCAGAAGGAGCUGGACAUGGUGAAGAUCAGCAAGGAUCCCAGUAAAAUUCCAAGCUGGCUGAAAAUUAACAAGAUCUAUUAUCCAGACUUCAUUGUUCCAGACCCAAAGAAAGCCCCAGUGUGGGAGAUCACAGGUGCUGAGUUCUCUAAAGCAGAAGCCCACACUGCAGAUGGGAUCUCCAUCCGCUUCCCUCGCUGCACCCGGAUCCGAGAUGACAAAGACUGGAAGACGGCCACCAACCUCCCUCAGCUCAAGGAGCUGUACCAGCUCUCCAAGGAGAAGUCCGAUUUCAAUAUCGUUGUAGCAGAGGAGGAGGGGUCCACAGCCAGCAGCAGUGGCGAGAAUGAGGGAAAUUCGAGGUCUUCCACACCCCACAAAAUUGCUAAGACCCCCCCAAGCAAGUCUCCUGCAAAAGCCAAGAAGCCAGAAGGCAGCAAAGCAGUUGGUCGGUCCCCCCAGAAGAAGGCGGAGGAGAAGCGAGGGGAGAAACGGAAAGCAGCUGAGCUGGAUGACAACAGAAAGAAGAGCAGACAUGGAGAGAGAACCAGCAGGAGAGCUGGGCACCCAGGAAGGUGCUAGCAGAUCAGCAUGGUAGAAGAGCUAGAGCUUUUUCCAGCCACCCUCGUAGAGCAGCUCGUUAGCUAGUCAUUAAAGACUGAAGGAAACUGACUGGAUUUUUCUGUUGCGAAAGAGCCCGCCGAUGUGUUGCACUGCAGCUGGGUUUGCAGAAAAUUACUGAGGCUUCUGGUAGAUGCAGUGAGCAGGCACGUUGGCUCAUUCAGGAGCUUGGCUCUCUUCCAGGUGGUGUCCGUUACGCAGUGUGCAUUCUCUGUCCGCCUCUGCCCUCCAUCCUGAGCAAAGCAGUGAUGACUCAGUAUUUGCCCACUGGAUCGGUUGUAAGCCAGUCUGAGAACCGGAGUUCAGUGAAAUGUAAAAGCAGAAAUGGUAGCAGCAAGCUCCUCCGACCGAGCCUCUGUCUCCUCCCCCUCCUUUCACACUGAGUACAGAGUGGCUGAGAUAACGGGGCUUGUCAUCCCGGAGCAGCUCGGGGCCCAUCGUCCUGACUCCAGCAGCGGGCUGGACUAGAUGCCGUGACGGAGGGCACGGCUACUCUUAUUGCACCUGGUCGUUGGUGCAGUGCUGUGUGUGGAAGCAGUCGGUGUGCAGAGGGGAGGAAUUGUCUGUCCUGAUCCCAGCUGGGGAUCACAUUAUGUCCUGCAGUAUGAAGCUUCUGGGCCAUUCCAGUUUCUGCAUUAACUAGUGACCUGUGCAGCUUAUGUAAGUGACUCAUCAUUGGGAGGAUAAAGUCACACGGCCUAGGCACUUGAAAGGCUUGUAGAGUUUGGGGGUUUUAAAUAAAUCGACUGAUCUUCAGCCCUAGCCACUAGUUGGGUGACUGCCAGGUGGGUCUGCAGGAGAGAGAUGGCGUCAUGGAUCAGUUUGGGGAGGCGUUCCAGGCGGAGAGCACGGUGCGGAAGAAAGCGUAGCCACCCGUGAGCUGCCUGGCCAGCCUGGCAGUGGAGGCUGGCAGGGGGGCUAGUACGACAGGAGACGCAGGCAGAGCUGAUCAGGAACGUGCAGACGCUGCUGGACAUAUUUACAGGGGUGAAGCUGUACCUACCGCCAUCCGUGGAGGACUUCAGCAAAAUCCGCCGGUACUUUGUGGCGUAUGACGGAGACCUUGUGCAAGAGUUCGACACCGCCUCAGCAACAC
Molecule: RNA transcript, 4088 nt
Organism: Mauremys mutica (yellowpond turtle)
Lineage: Eukaryota; Metazoa; Chordata; Testudines; Geoemydidae
Gene: LIG3
Gene name: DNA ligase 3
Exons: 21
Source: RefSeq, a predicted model, not a curated record